CAAUAGCGUAUAUUGAAGUUGCUGCGGUUGAAAAGCUCGUAGUUGGAUUUCUGCCAAGGACGACCGGUCCGCCCUCUGGGUGAGUAUCUGGCUUGGCCUGGGCAUCUUCUUGGAGAACGUAGCUGCACUUGACUGUGUGGUGCGGUAUCCAGGACUUUUACUUUUGAAAAAUUAGAGUGCUCAAAGCAGGCUAUUACGCCUGAAUAUUCGUGCAUGGAAUAAUAGAAUAGGAAGUCGUUUCUAUUUUGUUGGUUUCGGAAAUCGACUUAAUGAUUAAUAGGGACAGUCGGGGGCAUUUGUAUUCAAACGACAGAGGUGAAAUUCUUGGACCGUUUGAAGACAAACUACUGCGAAAGCAUUUGCCAAGAAUGUUUUCAUUAAUCAAGAACGAAAGUUAAAGGUUCGAAGACGAUUAGAUACC
RNAcentral lists this ribosomal RNA (421 nucleotides) under uncultured eukaryote. RNAcentral's name for it is "bacterial SSU rRNA". It matches the Rfam family "Eukaryotic small subunit ribosomal RNA", at positions 592 to 1016 of the family's 1831-position model. The record is from RNAcentral.